GUGCCAGCCGCGCGGUAAUACCGGCAGCUCAAGUGAUGUCCCAUAUUAUUGGGCCUAAAGCGUCCGUAGCUGGCUACGCAAGUCCGUCGGGAAAUCCACCCGCCCAACGGGUGGGCGUCCGGUAGAAACUGGCCGGCUUGGAACCGGAAGGCUCAGAGAGUACGUCCGGGGUAGGAGUGAAAUCCCGUAAUCCCGGACGGACUACCGAUGGCGAAAGCACUCUGAGAAGACGGCUUCGACAGUGAGGGACGAAAGCUCGGGUCUCAAACCGGAUUAGAAACCCGAGUAGUCU
RNAcentral lists this ribosomal RNA (292 nucleotides) under uncultured bacterium. Its description in RNAcentral is "partial 16S ribosomal RNA". It matches the Rfam family "Archaeal small subunit ribosomal RNA", at positions 455 to 747 of the family's 1478-position model. The record is from RNAcentral.